Molecule: ribosomal RNA, 301 nt
Filed under: uncultured bacterium
Lineage: Bacteria
Description: partial 16S ribosomal RNA
Rfam family: Bacterial small subunit ribosomal RNA
Source: RNAcentral
CAGCCGCCGCGGUAAUACAGAGGGUGCGAGCGUUAAUCGGAUUUACUGGGCGUAAAGCGUGCGUAGGCGGCUUUUUAAGUCGGAUGUGAAAUCCCUGAGCUUAACUUGGGAAUUGCAUUCGAUACUGGUUAGCUAGAGUGUGGGAGAGGAUGGUAGAAUUCCAGGUGUAGCGGUGAAAUGCGUAGAGAUCUGGAGGAAUACCGAUGGCGAAGGCAGCCAUCUGGCCUAACACUGACGCUGAGGUACGAAAGCAUGGGGAGCAAACAGGAUUAGAUACCCCAGUAGUCCCUGUCUCUUAUAC